Molecule: ribosomal RNA, 418 nt
Filed under: Streptomyces anulatus
Lineage: Bacteria; Bacillati; Actinomycetota; Actinomycetes; Kitasatosporales; Streptomycetaceae
Description: partial 23S ribosomal RNA
Rfam family: Bacterial large subunit ribosomal RNA
Source: RNAcentral
UGGUUUGGCACCUCGAUGUCGGCUCGUCGCAUCCUGGGGCUGGAGUCGGUCCCAAGGGUUGGGCUGUUCGCCCAUUAAAGCGGUACGCGAGCUGGGUUUAGAACGUCGUGAGACAGUUCGGUCCCUAUCCGCUGUGCGCGUAGGAAUAUUGAGAAGGGCUGUCCCUAGUACGAGAGGACCGGGACGGACGAACCUCUGGUGUGCCAGUUGUCCUGCCAAGGGCAUGGCUGGUUGGCUACGUUCGGAAAGGAUAACCGCUGAAAGCAUCUAAGCGGGAAGCCUGCUUCGAGAUGAGUAUUCCCACCCUCUUGAAGGGUUAAGGCUCCCAGUAGACGACUGGGUUGAUAGGCCAGAUGUGGAAGCCCUGUAAGGGGUGGAGCUGACUGGUACUAAUAGGCCGAGGGCUUGUCCUCAGUUG